AUUGAACGCUGGCGGCAGGCUUAACACAUGCAAGUCGAGCGGUAGCACAGGAGAGCUUGCUCUCUGGGUGACGAGCGGCGGACGGGUGAGUAAUGUCUGGGAAACUGCCUGAUGGAGGGGGAUAACUACUGGAAACGGUAGCUAAUACCGCAUAACGUCGCAAGACCAAAGAGGGGGACCUUCGGGCCUCUUGCCAUCAGAUGUGCCCAGAUGGGAUUAGCUAGUAGGUGGGGUAAUGGCUCACCUAGGCGACGAUCCCUAGCUGGUCUGAGAGGAUGACCAGCCACACUGGAACUGAGACACGGUCCAGACUCCUACGGGAGGCAGCAGUGGGGAAUAUUGCACAAUGGGCGCAAGCCUGAUGCAGCCAUGCCGCGUGUGUGAAGAAGGCCUUCGGGUUGUAAAGCACUUUCAGCGAGGAGGAAGGUGGUGAACUUAAUACGUUCAUCAAUUGACGUUACUCGCAGAAGAAGCACCGGCUAACUCCGUGCCAGCAGCCGUGGUAAUACGGAGGGUGCAAGCGUUAAUCGGAAUUACUGGGCGUAAGCGCACGCAGGCGGUUUGUUAAGUCAGAUGUGAAAUCCCCGGGCUCAACCUGGGAACUGCAUUUGAAACUGGCAAGCUAGAGUCUCGUAGAGGGGGGUAGAAUUCCAGGUGUAGCGGUGAAAUGCGUAGAGAUCUGGAGGAAUACCGGUGGCGAAGGCGGCCCCCUGGACGAAGACUGACGCUCAGGUGCGAAAGCGUGGGGAGCAAACAGGAUUAGAUACCCUGGUAGUCCACGCUGUAAACGAUGUCGAUUUGGAGGUUGUGCCCUUGAGGCGUGGCUUCCGGAGCUAACGCGUUAAAUCGACCGCCUGGGGAGUACGGCCGCAAGGUUAAAACUCAAAUGAAUUGACGGGGGCCCGCACAAGCGGUGGAGCAUGUGGUUUAAUUCGAUGCAACGCGAAGAACCUUACCCACUCUUGACAUCCAGAGAACUUUCCAGAGAUGGAUUGGUGCCUUCGGGAACUCUGAGACAGGUGCUGCAUGGCUGUCGUCAGCUCGUGUUGUGAAAUGUUGGGUUAAGUCCCGCAACGAGCGCAACCCUUAUCCUUUGUUGCCAGCGGUUCGGCCGGGAACUCAAAGGAGACUGCCAGUGAUAAACUGGAGGAAGGUGGGGAUGACGUCAAGUCAUCAUGGCCCUUACGAGUAGGGCUACACACGUGCUACAAUGGCAUAUACAAAGAGAAGCGACCUCGCGAGAGCAAGCGGACCUCAUAAAGUAUGUCGUAGUCCGGAUUGGAGUCUGCAACUCGACUCUAUGAAGUCGAAAUCGCUAGUAAUCGUAGAUCAGAAUGCUACGGUGAAUACGUUCCCGGGCCU
Molecule: ribosomal RNA, 1362 nt
Filed under: uncultured bacterium
Lineage: Bacteria
Description: bacterial SSU rRNA
Rfam family: Bacterial small subunit ribosomal RNA
Source: RNAcentral